CCCUUUUCCCAUCGAGUCAUUCGCUAGACUAAUUUCUCUUGUUCAUUUUUAUUUUGCAGGUUCAAAGGCUCUUCUCCUCAGUUAAUAAUACAUCGACUUCUCUCGAAUGAUCUGGUGACUCUGAUGAAAAAAUCUCUUUUGAUCUUGGAGCUCUCUCAAAAAAAGGAACUACUACCUAAAGGACUAAGAAAAAACAAGAUGAUCUUGCGAGAUUGAGAUCAGAUACACCCUCUUUGUUUGCUCCUUUCUGCUGUUUAAGGUG
This is a long non-coding RNA of Hibiscus syriacus, 262 nucleotides long. RefSeq lists it as uncharacterized. NCBI's taxonomy places the organism in Eukaryota, Viridiplantae, Streptophyta, Magnoliopsida, Malvales, Malvaceae. The transcript is spliced from 3 exons. The record is from RefSeq and is a predicted model, not a curated record.